RNA transcript from Phoenix dactylifera (date palm), 1936 nucleotides. RefSeq lists it as uncharacterized. NCBI's taxonomy places the organism in Eukaryota, Viridiplantae, Streptophyta, Magnoliopsida, Arecales, Arecaceae. The record is from RefSeq and is a predicted model, not a curated record.
AACGCUACUCGUUGCAACGUUCGAAACCACGAAUCCCUCUCUCUGCCUCUCAGCCAUGGAAGCCCGAUGGGAAAAGGAAAAAAAGAAAGAAAAAGGAAAAAGAGUCUCGCUUUCUCACAGCCGUGGAAGCCUGAGGGAAGAAAAAAAAGAAAGAGAGAGGAAAAGGAGAGAGAAGAAAAUGGCCUUGUUUCUUCCCAAAAUCUCGUCCUCUCCCCUCCUUCCUCACCAUUGCCCUUCCCAAAAUUCCCCAACGAGGCCCUUCCUCUCUUCUUCAUCACUAACUAAUCUCGAGCCCCCGCCCGUCCACGAUGCUACGCGCGAGAAGCCCCCGGCGCUGCACGGCAAGCCCCCCGCCGCGUUGCACGAAACCAAGAAGAAAAGCGAGAAGAACAGCAAUAAGGGCGACUCCUAUCUCAACCUCGGCCUCGUCGUCCGCACCCUCCGCGACGACCUCCCCUCCCUCUUCUCCAAAGACCUCAACUACGACAUCUACCGGGAUGAUAUCACCUUCGUCGAUCCGCUCAAUACCUUUCAUGGGAUCGAGAACUAUAAAUUGAUCUUCUGGGCGCUCCGAUUGCAUGGCCGGAUUUUGUUUCGGGAGAUUGGGCUUGAGAUUUUCCGGGUUUGGCAGCCAUCGGAGUACAUGAUCUUGAUCCGUUGGGAGCUGCAGGGGGUCCCCCGGGUGCCGUGGGAGGCAAGGGGAAGAUUCCAGGGGACGUCGAGGUAUCGACUGGAUCGGAAUGGGAAGAUAUAUGAGCAUAAAGUUGACAACUUGGCGUUCAAUUUUCCCCGGGCGGCGGUCGGGACGGUGACCGUGAUGGAUUUGGUGGCUACCACAUGCCCUCUGAGUCCCAAUUUGACGUUUUGGGGGGAGGCGGUGGAGCGUUCUGGUGUUUUGGGGUCAUGCUCGUGGGCGAAGCUUUAUCAGGCGGUGAGAGGAACUCUGGAGCAAGAGGAGCAAGGUUUGUUUGGGAUUGGUAUCGAGGGUUUUGUCACUUGUUCAUAGCUUGGGCAUUGGAAGAAAGCUGGUGAUGUAUAUAUCGAGGAUGAUCCAAUGGCUUAGUAUGGGAUUAAGUAGAUCAAAAAUUCACCUAGUGAAUAUGUAUCUACAUGGUGAUGUUUCCUGACAGCAAUGCUCCAUUUGACAUUACACUUCUUUAGCAAAUCAAAUUCUCCUUCACUUCAUCAGAGACAGUCAUGAUACCCUAUCGGAAGGAAUGACUAGUUUUCUUCCAUAUCUUGUGAGAGGUGAACCAAGCCCUUGUCCUCACAAGAAAGCCUUUCUGGCAAGAGGUGACAAUUGAAUACCCAUUUUAACUUCAUUAGGGAUCUAGUAGUCUCUGAUUGUCAGGAGGCAAAAUCCUUGUAGAGAUGGUUAGCAUGUAAGUGCAGGUAGCCUCAACUGAAAUACAAUAGCCACUAUCUGAUUUCAGAAAGGGUGUGAAAGUUUGGUCCGGUCCCACCAGGACCUAAGAACAUAUGGCGUCUAUUGGAAAUCCAUGACACCAUGGUUUCACAUGAUGUGGAAUGGUAUAAUGAGGCUAGUACUUUAUUUUAAAAGAGUUAGCUACAAUUUGUUGCAACUUUUGCAUCCUUAAGUUUUUUAUGGUCAGUUUUGAUGCUGUACAUGGAAAAUGAUUAAAUGCCAUCCUUGAGCAUGAUGGUUUGGAGUAGUGGGAGGGGUGCCAUUGGGGUGAUCUGAUGACUAUGAUGAUUUAAUUUUAAAAACUGAGCGGUGCUUUAGUUUGAUUUAUGAUAUGUUGUAAUUGGUUAUUGCCAUCUGGUACAAAAGCUUCUUUCCUAUUGUUUCAGUGUUGAUGGUUUACGAACCCAAUGGAAAGUGCUGUAGUCACUCAAACCUACUUUGACUUGGUUCUGUAAUGAACAAACUUACAUGUUAAUAUGACAUUAUAUCUUCUGUUGGGUGUUGUUAAAA